UACGUAGGGAGCGAGCGUUAUCCGGAUUUAUUGGGCGUAAAGAGUUCGUAGGCGGUUUGUUUAGUCUAAAAUCAAAACGUGGGGCUUAACUCCAUCUCGUUUUAGAAACUGGCAGACUUGAGUGUGGUAGAGGCAAGUGGAAUUUCUAGUGUAGCGGUUAAAUGCGUAGAUAUUAGAAGGAACACCAGUGGCGAAGGCGGCUUGCUGGGCCAUUACUGACGCUGAGGAACGAAAGCGUGGGGAGCAAAUAGG
This 252-nucleotide ribosomal RNA is filed under the name uncultured bacterium. Its description in RNAcentral is "partial 16S ribosomal RNA". It matches the Rfam family "Bacterial small subunit ribosomal RNA", at positions 524 to 776 of the family's 1533-position model. The record is from RNAcentral.